Fragaria vesca subsp. vesca is the source of this 869-nucleotide RNA transcript. RefSeq lists it as uncharacterized. Lineage: Eukaryota; Viridiplantae; Streptophyta; Magnoliopsida; Rosales; Rosaceae. The record is from RefSeq and is a predicted model, not a curated record. The transcript is spliced from 2 exons.
AAUAUGAAAAGUAAAGAAAUAAAAUCAAGAGCAUACUCGCAUAAUAGGCCGUCCAAAACUUUUCGGCCUGUUCUUCUGGCUUGAGUAAUAGAUCGUCGGGAGUCCAACCUAGUUCGGCUAAGGAGGCUUCUAGGUCGGAGCCGUUAGUCUUCAACUUCUUGGCGGGGGAUGAAGGGUCCAAGUCCGAUGGUAAGGAUGUGGGGAGCCUCUUCGGUUGGUUCAUUUCCGGUGGUGAGGAUUUGGGUUUCAGUUCCGGUGGGGAGGAUUUGGGGCUUCUUUGAGGUUUGGGCGUCGCCUUCAAUUUGGUGGUUGGACUCGCUUCUAUGUUAUAUAAAACGUUAAAAAUAAGCUAAAAUUAGAUCAAAAUUGCACGAGUGGGAUGGCGAGGAACAAGGCUCAAAAUCAGGAACAAGACAGAAGCUGCUCUUCAAAGAAGUGGAUUCUAACUCAAAGGCUCAAACAAUGAUGGUUGAAGAAGGGGAAGAUAGGAUCAGUGCAUUACCGGAUGAACUUGUUUGUCACAUACUUUCCUUACUUCCAACAAUAUAUGCUGUCAGAACAACCGUUUGUCUACAAGAUGGAAGGGCAAGUGGACUUCUGUUCGCAAUUUGGAGUUCAAUGACGAACAUUUGAAUUACCGCCAUAAGCGAUUUCUAAGUUUUGUUUAUCGUGUCUUCUUUCGCGACUCAUCAUCAGAAAUCUGCAAGUUCUCUAUUUCUGUUACUGGGGAUUUGUAUCGCAUUAUGGGUAAACUUACUGCAUGGUCUCCUGCCAAUUGGGUUUGCACUGCUGUGAGGUGUAAUCCUGUUGAACUGGAAGUUUGUGGUUUUAAUGAAUUUUUGCCAUUUGAGAUACCUGAGAGCCUUCUG